Molecule: microRNA precursor, 84 nt
Filed under: Bombyx mori (domestic silkworm)
Lineage: Eukaryota; Metazoa; Arthropoda; Insecta; Lepidoptera; Bombycidae
Description: mir-2807 microRNA precursor family
Rfam family: mir-2807 microRNA precursor family
Source: Rfam by way of RNAcentral
UUAGCUCAUAUUUGUAUGGAAUGGGAUCGUUUGCGUACGUUUGCCGCUAGGGGCGCUGUUCCAACUGCAUACAAAAUCGGGUUA